This 905-nucleotide ribosomal RNA is filed under the name uncultured organism. RNAcentral describes it as "bacterial SSU rRNA". It matches the Rfam family "Bacterial small subunit ribosomal RNA", at positions 20 to 969 of the family's 1533-position model. The record is from RNAcentral.
UGGCUCAGGAUGAACGCUGGCGGUCUGCUUAACACAUGCAAGUCGAACGCAACCUUCGGGUUGAGUGGCGGACGGGUAAGUAACGCGUGAGAAUCUGCCUUGGGGUCGGGGACAACCACUGGAAACGGUGGCUAAUACCGGAUAAGCCUUUGGGUAAAAAAUUUAUUGCCCCAAGAGGAGCUCGCGUCUGAUUAGCUAGUUGGUGAGGUAAAAGCUCACCAAGGCAGCGAUCAGUAGCUGGUCUGAGAGGACGAUCAGCCACACUGGGACUGAGACACGACCCAGACUCCUACGGGAGGCAGCAGUGGGGAAUUUUCCGCAAUGGGCGAAAGCCUGACGGAGCAAGACCGCGUGAGGGAGGAAGGCUCUUGGGUUGUAAACCUCUUUUCUCAGGGAAGAAGCUCUGACGGUACCUGAGGAAUCAGCCUCGGCUAACUCCGUGCCAGCAGCCGCGGUAAUACGGAGGAGGCAAGCGUUAUCCGGAAUUAUUGGGCGUAAAGCGUCCGCAGGUGGCGAUUCAAGUCUGCUGUCAAAGCACGGGGCUUAACUCCGUUAAGGCAGUGGAAACUGAAUAGCUAGAGUGCCGUAGGGGUAGAGGGAAUUCCCGGUGUAGCGGUGAAAUGCGUAGAGAUCGGGAAGAACAUCGGUGGCGAAAGCGCUCUACUGGACGGCAACUGACACUCAGGGACGAAAGCUGGGGGAGCGAAUGGGAUUAGAUACCCCAGUAGUCCUAGCUGUAAACGAUGGAUACUAGGUGUAGCUUGUAUCGACCCGAGCUGUGCCGAAGCUAACGCGUUAAGUAUCCCGCCUGGGGAGUACGCACGCAAGUGUGAAACUCANAGGAAUUGACGGGGGCCCGCACAAGCGGUGGAGUAUGUGGUUUAAUUCGAUGCAACGCGAAGAAC